This is a long non-coding RNA of Bubalus bubalis (water buffalo), 486 nucleotides long. RefSeq lists it as uncharacterized. The transcript is spliced from 2 exons. The record is from RefSeq and is a predicted model, not a curated record. NCBI's taxonomy places the organism in Eukaryota, Metazoa, Chordata, Mammalia, Artiodactyla, Bovidae.
CUCAGAGCAGGAGAGAGAAGUACAGAGGAAGAGGAAUGCGAAGACCCCGGUUUCCUCUUCUCAUAUACUGGCACAUCAAGCAAUGUAAUACACAAUUCAUUAGUCAUGAUACACAGACUGCUUACUGUCUCCUGCUGUUCAAAUUCAAGAGCACACUGAGAACAUGUCUGCAUAAGCACACUCAAAGAUCCCUGAUUUAUUUUCUUCAAUCAAAAUGUGGUCCCUAGGUCUUGUCCUAUAUAUCUUUUUCAUGGAUUUUUAAAUUUGUUUAAAAAAAUAAUUUUGUAAACAGUCAUAUCAAAAAUCUAGUGGGUGGGAGGUGGUUGCCAGUGUCUACUUUUACUUCUAAUCUCUGCCAUGGCUCCAUUUAUAAGCCAUGAAAUACAUGAUUUUCAUAGAAUUUUAAUCUGGUUAAGUCUGAAAGACCCCAAGACCAUCCAAAGCACAGCUCUUUUUACUAGAACUUUCUCAAAUACAUUCUAACAC